GCCACCUUAGCUCAGUUGGUAGAGCAAUCGCUUCGUAAGCGAGAGGUCGUCAGUUCAAGUCUGAUAGGUGGCUCCA
This 76-nucleotide transfer RNA is filed under the name bacterium. RNAcentral's name for it is "tRNA-Thr". It matches the Rfam family "tRNA". Rfam says of the family: Transfer RNA (tRNA) molecules are approximately 80 nucleotides in length. Their secondary structure includes four short double-helical elements and three loops (D, anti-codon, and T loops). The record is from RNAcentral.